GUGUUGUAUGAAAGGAGAAAAGGUUAGCACUCACCUUGACAAAGAUGGAAGAGGGUCUUGGGCCUAAUCACACACAUAUGGUUAGGACCUUGCCUCCUACUUCAUGGCAUCUAACCACUGUUUUUA
Molecule: small nuclear RNA, 126 nt
Organism: Apodemus sylvaticus (European woodmouse)
Lineage: Eukaryota; Metazoa; Chordata; Mammalia; Rodentia; Muridae
Source: RefSeq, a predicted model, not a curated record